RNAcentral lists this ribosomal RNA (568 nucleotides) under uncultured bacterium. RNAcentral describes it as "partial 16S ribosomal RNA". It matches the Rfam family "Bacterial small subunit ribosomal RNA", at positions 355 to 1375 of the family's 1533-position model. The record is from RNAcentral.
UGGGGAAUAUUGCACAAUGGGCGCAAGCCUGAUGCAGCAACGCCGCGUGAGGGAUGACGGCCUUCGGGUUGUAAACCUCUUUUAGUAGGGAAGAAGCGAAAGUGACGGUACCUGCAGAAAAAGCACCGGCUAACUACGUGCCAGCAGCCGCGGUAAUACGUAGGGUGCGAGCGUUGUCCGGAAUUAUUGGGCGUAAAGAGCUCGUAGGCGGUCUGUCGCGUCUGCUGUGAAAACCCGAGGCUCAACCUCGGGCCUGCAGUGGGUACGGGCAGACUAGAGUGCGGUAGGGGAGAAUGGAAUUCCUGGUGUAGCGGUGGAAUGCGCAGAUAUCAGGAGGAACACCGAUGGCGAAGGCAGUUCUCUGGGCCGUAACUGACGCUGAGGAGCGAAAGCGUGGGGAGCGAACAGGAUUAGAUACCCUGGUAGUCCACGCCGUAAACGUUGGGCGCUAGAUGUGGGGACCAUUCCACGGUUUCCGUGUCGCAGCUAACGCAUUAAGCGCCCCGCCUGGGGAGUACGGCCGCAAGGCUAAAACUCAAAGGAAUUGACGGGGUCAUAGCUGUUUCCU